UAUUUUUGUCUCAAAAGUUGAAACAUGUGAAAUCUAUAAGAUCAUCUCCCCAUUCUCUAAAUAUACGAAAUCUCCAACUCAAAUUCACACACCAACUCAGCCAAUUACCCACCUUCUUCAUCUCUAUAUCCUCUACAUGCCCUUUACCACCAUCUGUACACAUAAAACAACAACAAAGACUUCAACCACUCAAAUAGAUUCUCACAAAGCAGUCCCUCUUCCUCUCGAUCAUCACCUGCGAGGACAACCAGAGACUACUGGCACCGGUUAACCGGCCGACGAUGGUGUGUCCGACGAACACCCCACCCCCUGUUAGUUAUAGAGCCGACCACCACCAUCGGGUGGUGGUGAGCGAUGUUUGGAUAGAGAAAGAGAGAGAGAGAGACCGAGAAGAAAGAGAAUCGGAGAAGAAGCGGCGUCGCCGCACACGGCGGCGGCAAUAGCGGCGUGGCGGUGGUUCGUGUCUCGGUCCGAUGAGUUUUCCGAUAAUGGUGAGGACGGCUUCAGCUUUGUUCGGGUUGUUUCGAGUUUCUCAGGUCAGACGGUUCAGGUCUCAGGUCCGGGUCAGGUUCAACGGGUUUCGGUUCGGUCGGACUCGGGUCAGUUGGUAAACGGUAAAAGAGGGCUAAGGUCAGCAACUUCAGUUCGGUUCGGGAAAGAAACGGAAAAGGGGUCCGAUUUGGUUUCGGGUCUAGUUACAGAGGUCAACGGCUGGUCAAUGGUUCGGUCAACGGUUCGGGUCAGUCGCGGUCAACAGGUCAAACCGAGUCAACCCAGUGACUCGGUCAACUCAGCUGGUCAAACCCGGUCAACUCAGUUGACUUGGUCAACGCCUCGACCGCGAGUUUUGGUAUAUAGUUUAACGCCGCGAUUAGUAUUUACAUUUUUAUAUAGUUUUAUGUCUCACGUGAAAACGAGCUUGAACCGAACGAGGUGACAAAUUAUUAGUUAAAACAUACUUGGAUUUAUUUACAAUCUUUUUACAUAAAUUGGUUAUGCUAAAUAAUAGUGAAUUGUUGAUUGAA
Helianthus annuus (common sunflower) is the source of this 1025-nucleotide long non-coding RNA. RefSeq lists it as uncharacterized. Lineage: Eukaryota; Viridiplantae; Streptophyta; Magnoliopsida; Asterales; Asteraceae. The record is from RefSeq and is a predicted model, not a curated record. The transcript has 2 exons.